UCCAGGUGUCUAAUUACUGAAGGGAAAUCUCC
RNAcentral lists this non-coding RNA (32 nucleotides) under Mus musculus (house mouse). The record is from RNAcentral. Lineage: Eukaryota; Metazoa; Chordata; Mammalia; Rodentia; Muridae.